CUCCAUCGCCGCCGAUGUCGGCCGCCGCGUCUCCUCCUCCUCUGACGGCGCCGUCGAAACCCGCGGCCUCGUCGCCUGCGGCACCGGCGUCGGAGUCGCCAUCUUCGCCAACAAGUUCCCGGGCGUGUUCGCCGCCACGUGUCUCAACCCCUCCGAAGCCCAAAACGCUCGCUCCAUCAACAACUCCAACGUCCUCGCCGUCUCCGGCAUGUCCACGGCACCGGACUCCGCCAUCGAGAUCCUCGACACCUGGCUCAACACCCCUUUCAAAUCCCCCUGUCCCGCCUCCGACUCCAAGCCCUGGCCUCCAGAAAUCGAGACUUUUCUCGACAAUUCGAUUAAAGAAAUGCCCAAAAUUGGAGCUGAAGAAGAAAAGCAAGCAGCUUUGGGUUCGGAGGAGGCUUCUUGUACUCUGUGUUGUUUGGUGAAGAAU
RNAcentral lists this long non-coding RNA (433 nucleotides) under Prunus persica (peach). Its description in RNAcentral is "long non-coding RNA (PPER_LNC006718)". Lineage: Eukaryota; Viridiplantae; Streptophyta; Magnoliopsida; Rosales; Rosaceae. The record is from RNAcentral.